This 5200-nucleotide long non-coding RNA is filed under the name Hordeum vulgare. RNAcentral's name for it is "long non-coding RNA (HVUL_LNC014531)". The record is from RNAcentral. Lineage: Eukaryota; Viridiplantae; Streptophyta; Magnoliopsida; Poales; Poaceae.
UUGGAUCUAAAGCAAUGUAGCCAUGAUGGUUGUGGUUAUUAGUAAAGUUAUAGGUGUUUAAUGAAAAAAAAACAGUCAACAACCAUCGGCAAAGGAAAAUCGAAUGAAACAAACGGUGUGACAUCAGCUGGCCAAGAAAGAGUUUUUCUCAAUCAGAUGCCAUUUCUCUUCCUCCAAGCAGAAGCAGGGUUAGUUACCGGCGGGUGGUCAGUCGCUCUCUCGCAACCUUGGCCCGACGUUUGCCUUCCUUCAUUUUUAUUUAUUUACUGGGAAACGAUUUCCCUCAGCGGGCUGAUAAUCAUAGUGUGUCCAUCGCCUCCGUUGCGUGCCAUGCAUCCUCAGCAUAAAAACAAGUGCAAGCAUCUAUUUGAAUAACAAUGGAGUUGUUGUAAAUCUUGACGGCAAAUGAUUACUGUGAUGUAACGUAGCUUCAUUUUGUAGAUAUAAUCCUACAACAAGUUCCCAGUUAGAAAAAAAAAUCACAAUAAGACGGCUGUUGGAGAAAAAAAUCUAAAAAUAUAUGCAACAAGAUGUCUGUUACCAAAAAAUUGCAACAAGACAUCUAUUGUAAAAAAUUCUGCAACAAUAUGCGUUGUAAGAAACUUUUGCAAGAAGACAUGUGUUGCAAUGAUGGAUGGCAAUGCUCUUGGCCUCUCAAUGCGUCCAAUCUAACGCGCCCGGCUGUUUUUUUUUAAAUCACCCGACGAACGCGUAGCAUGCCGCUUAUUUUAUUAUAUAAAUCCUUGAUUGAUUCAACACAGCUCUAUGAGAGGGGGGUAGGGAAGGAGGGAGAGUGUAAGGUCAUCCGGCACUAGCCUUCCUUAGCCCGAUCUCCUCCGAGCUAGGCAGCCAAGUGAGGUUGGCCAUCUCUCCCUUGUGUUUUCUGUUGUUUAAUCCGUGGCGAUCCCUUGUGCAGAUCCAUACAGAGAUGUUAGGGCCUUUGGGGGAAGAGAAGGAGCUGGAGCAACAAGUUUCUUCUGUACGGCCAUCCGUUCUUUCUCCCAACCACAGCUUUGCCACGCAGGCUAGUUAAGGCAUGGCGAGCAACAAGGAUGCCGAGCUGGAGACACCACUUCUCAUGCCGGAGGAGGAAGGACCAACAGCCCCGUUGCUGGACCAAGGAUCACUGGAGCCGACACCACGUCCACGGCUCCCGCCACCGAAGUUUGGGGAGCUCAUCUCGGUGUUGAGCAUCGACGGUUGCGGGAUACACGGGCUCAUCCCGACGGUCGUCCUCAAAUGCCUCGAGGAAAAGCUCCAGGUAUGUCAACCACUUCUCUCUUGAAAUGAUAUGUUAUGUUGUUAGACGAACCACAUCUCUCUUGAAUUGUUAUGUUAUGUUGUUAGACGAAGUAAGCCGAUCCAUCUCCGCUGAUGUGUUUAGGCUAUUGACGGGGAAGAUGCCCGGAUAGCGGACUACUUUGACGUGAUCGCGGGCACGAGCGCGGGCGCCACCAUCGCGGCAAUGUUGGCGGUGCCGAACACGAACAAACGGACAAAGUACACCCCUCAGGAAAUCCAGGAUUUCUAUGUCAACAACGGACCUAAAAUCUUCCCUCCCAAGAGGUAGGUAUUCGAGAAAUAAAGUUUUCAUCUUUAUCGUCCGUAGAUAAUAUGUAUGUAAUUAGUUCACUAUUUGUUUCACAUUCACAGGUGGUGGCGAUGGCCUCUGGACCUGCUAAGCGCAUCGCGGGGGCUCAAGUACGACGGCACGUUCCUCCAGAAAAAGAAGAUCAAGGAAGUCAAGGAUGAGCACACGUUCGACGCCAAUAUUAUCGAGCCUCUCAUCUUCUCCUCGUUCCAGGAUGAUGCCGUGCAAAAACUAGUUGAAGAGGCCAAACCAGAGCCGCCGGAUGUCUGCAUUGGCCCGCCGUCGACGGCCACGUCAACCUACUUCCCGGCGCACUACUUCGAUAUCUGGGUCAGUGACAUGGAGCAGUCAAAACACCACCUCAUCGACGGCGGUAACAACCCCACAAUGGCUGCCAUAUCCAAGAUCACCAGGGAGCAACUUGUCAAGAACCCGGAGUUCCACUCCAACGGCGUGGAUUACAUGAAAUACCUCGUCAUCUCGGUAGGCGCAGGGUGUGCAUCAGUGCACGAAAAGGGGCUAUGCAUGAAAUCACGACGGACUGUGCCGGCCAAGUGGGGCGGCUUCAACUGGUUUCACAGCAGGCGCAAUAGCCGCAGCCCGGUCACCGGCACCUUCUCGCAUGCCAGCGCCGUGUUGGCCGACUGGCAGGUUCGCAUGCUCUUACACAAUGGCAACCACGUGCGGAAGCAGAACUACCUCUACAUCCAGGCUCAGGUAGAAGUGAUCAACCACCUUAUCCCCCAUUGCGUUCUAGUAGUCCCUGCAAACUAAAACAUGUGUAUGUAGGCACCACUGUUCUGGGAGGCCAUUUUGCCAAUGGACAACGCGACCUCGGAGAACAUGGCUGACCUACUCAACAUUGGCGACAAGUUGUUGGCAGAGAAGGUGGCUAUGGUGGACUUGACCACGGGGAAGUACGAGACCGUCGAGGACGAGAAUGCACCCACCAAUGAUGCAGAGCUCCGGCGCUUCUCCGAGCUUCUAGUUGUCGAGCGCAACUUGCGCCUUAAGGAACAACAACAACAACGACAAGCAGAAGAAGAGAACGGGCUUCAUUUGCUUAACAUUCUUGAAUAAUAAAUAGUAUAUGGUUGUACGUACCAAUCAUUGCAAAGACCUAAGUGUUGAGUUCUCCCUUACACUCGUGUUGAUCCACCGAGUCAUGAGCCUUAUCAUGGAAUCUAGAUCGUUGACCCUGCCAACCAAGCAAAAGUUUGUUAUGACUCGACGAGGAGAAGUAAACUACGAUGAGAAGAUAAGAAGGAGACAUAUUUUUGUGUCCGAGCGAGGCGUGCGCGAGGAGACCUGAUAAUUCAGUGGCCACCGUGAAGGUGGAGUCAGCAGCGACCACAAGUAUCAUGCGACCACAAGUAUGAUUGGGUGUUGCUAAUUGAUUGUAUCAUAUGAUCAUUGCGUUUUCUCGUAGCAACAACGCUCGGACACAUUCGUUAGUAAUCAAUAAUUUAUGGUUAUGCAUAUCAAUCAAUGAGAAAACCGAGGGUUGAUUUUCCUCUUACAUUAACAAACAGCUUAGCUAUCAUACUUACAAUACUAGCUAGCUAAUUGCUGAUGCUGACAUUACACAACAACCAUGUUGCAAAUGGUACUAAAAUUGACCAGCAUGCGAUGAGGACGAGUCCGGCCAGCACUCACACCAAUAUUCAUCUUUUUUUUAAAGAUUAAGAGUCGGGAUGAUAGUGCAUAACGAUGCGAAUGGUACCAAAAUAGAUCGAUGGGGGGACGGCCGGCCAGCAGCCAGAUUGAUGAGGACAAUUAAUAUCUCAUUUUUACUUAAGACGACACAGUAUUGUCUUAUUAUAGACCAGGUCCUAGAGUGUGAUGUACUCAUCUAUCCUUUAGUUUAUCUUCUGUUCGUUAGAGUGUGAUGUAUGCAUGUAUCCUCUACGUACAGUUUUCUUCUCCAGCACAACUAUAGCCUUUUUCUAGUGGGACAUUUACAUCCCCCCCACCCCCAAAAAAAAUUUGUGUCUGACCUCAUCUUUAUCGCUAAAUAAAAAGUGCUAAAACCUCUUCUUGAUAAGUGUAUGUCCUUUCGUCCAUUCAAAGGCCUUUGACCGUGAGAUUUUUCUAUAAGCACAAUUCACGAUGAAAGGCCUUUUAUCGGACGGAAAAUGUGUACAAGGUCAUUUCUAUAAAAAUACUUAACAAAAGAGGGACAAAGUUGAACAUCAUUUUUUAUUUAGCGGUAAAGAUGAGACCGGAAGCAAACUAGGGGAAGAAAUCGCCCCAAGAAAGCUAGGGCUCCACCGCCUCCCGCCGGGGCUGUCGGUAGUCCGCCCUGUCUCCGUUGGCCUUAGGGCCAUGGAGGCAGAGUGGAUCUCGGCCCUUGCUGGUGGGAGGGAUCCGUUUUUAGAUCUUUCAUCGAGUUAUAUUAGGAUUUGUGUUCUGUUCAGGAAGGCGAGAUGGUGGCGGCUCUGUGAGAUGGAAUAAAGGUCUCCCUGCCUAGCCCCCAUUCCGGUGAUGCGUCUAGCAUAAUCAGUGGGCGUGUGGAGGUGUGUUCUCUCGCGGGUCUGUCUUUGAUGGAUUUUCUCGGAUCUGCUCGAUGUUCUUCUUUGUUCGUAUGUUUUUAGGUUGGAUAAUUUCGAUCUACACUCUUCAUCUGCGACAGUUGAUGUUCUGGUGUGUUAAUCCUAUGAGGCCUUAGCACGACGACUUCCUGGUGUGUUGGGGGCCCCCUUGCGCCCAGGGGCCCGGGGCGACCGCCCCUCCCCACCCUCAGGACCGGGCCUGCGGGGCGGCACGCGAGCUCCACUUCCGUGGGCUCCUUCUCCUUCGUCUCCUCCGCCGCCGCGAUGGCGGGUCCUCCUUUCCCGCGCACACGUCCCCCCUUCCCGGGGCAGGGGACGGCGGCGGUGCAGCUCGGCGGCCUGCGGUCCGGCGACCCGUUGGUGGUGGCCGACGACGGGUGAGGUGGCGGCGCUACUCCUUGGCGGCAGGGCGGCGUGGUGGUGCGGGUUAGCUGGUUGCAUGAGUAUUUACUUGCGUUAAUUACAAAGACUCAAUCAAUGAUAAAAUUAUGCUUGGACCUCACCGCUAAUGUCAACGGUCACCACCUUACAUGCGUGAGUAUUUACUUGCGUUAAGACUUAUUUCCCUUCACACCAUUAUUAAUACUCAACUUUAAUUAUUUUACUAGCAUUUCCCCAUAUUAUCACCUCAAUAUAAUAAAACUAUUGCAGAGAAUCAAACUUGUCAUAUUGAGUGAUCUAAAAUUUAUGCAAGAUUUUAUGACAAACCAUGUAAAUAACCAAUUCAUGUUAACUCACUAAAUAAAUCAACUAAGGACUAUCCCAUACCAGCACGGUGCAUGAAAGAAAAGGGAAAAACAAACACAAAAGUUGCUUUAAGAAUUUACGCAUAUCAUGUGAGUGACAAAAAACCAGUGCAUAUUGAUAUUCCUGUUGGCGUCACCCUCGUUGCCGUGUCGCUUCUUGUUCCUCUUACAACUCUUUUGUGGUUUCACUCUCAUCUCACAAGACUUGGAAACACACAUACACACACUCAUGCACCAAGGAUGAGGAAUGCAUUGGCUUUGCCAAAGAGACUCCCUGGUGAGCACACGCUGGCUACACCUUUUCUUCUUGG